GCGUUCUGUUAUCUAAGACAUUAUCCAGGGAAGACAGCUUUGGACAGCUAUUACCAUUUAAUAUAUAACAGAUUACUGGAUUAAUGUGUUCUUCUGUGCUUGUUUGUCUCUCUUGCUGUGUUUCUGCUCUGUCUUCUGUAACCCCCAGUCGGUCGAGGCAGAUGACCGUUCAUACUGAGCCUGGUUCUGCUGGAGGUUUUCCUUCCCGUUAAUGGGGAGUUUUUCUUCCCACGUUGGGAUUUUGAUGGAAUCAAUUGGUUCCCUUAUAUAGGAAAUUGUUCGACCAAUCUGUAUAACCUGACCCAAUCUGUAUAAUAUGACUGAACUUGACUUUGUAAAGUGCCUUGAGAUGACAUGUUUCAUGAAUUGGCGGUAUAUAAAUAAAUUGAAUUAAAUUGAAUUGAACUACCGAUCAGGAAUAGGAAGGUCAGUUGAAAAUCAAACAUGUUUGAAAUUCAGUCGGCCCUCGUGAGUGAUUGUGAGUGAUUGUGAGUGAUCGUGAUCGCGUCCUGCUGUUGAAGCGGAGUUACGACCGUCUUCGAGCCGAUUUCCCCCGACCUCGCGCACUACGCACGUGCAAACAGGUAAAUUUUUCUUCGUAUUCUCAGACGAAAACAUAGGAGCGGGAGAAGCAUGACCGCGGUACGUGUACAGAGGAGUAACUUGUAGAAUUGCCAAGGCAGCGCGUUUUGUUCUGGUAAGCCUCAUAUUUAACAGUGAGCUUCCACACUUCCGCCUUUUCUUCUUCUACUGCUGACAUUUGGCUUCCCGGUAGACCAGUCCAAGCAGCGCCAUCUCUCUACGGGGCUGAGUCCGACGUGUGGUUUUUGAACGCACUGUGUGAGCAUUUAGGUCGCAUCCGAGUGUCGGGCCACACAGUGUAAGAACAGAGAUGGAGAGCUGUGAACUUUUAAAGCCUGCUGUUUCGUCAUACAGUUUGAGCUGUAUAUGAGUACCACGAUUGAAUAUAUCGUACAGUGUAUGCCCGGCAUAAGAUCAAGUCAUAGGUGCCCUUAGUGAGUCUAUAAAAACAAAACUAAUAAAAUCUGGGCCAUUGGAGGUGACCUUGGAAGGAGGACUAGAACAGAACAACAAAGAGCAACUUAGCAAAAAGGUCAGGGGGCUAGAACCUGGGCCCAGAAACUGGAAUGUGACGCUGGGCUAUGGAGGAUUGAACCCCAGACAGGACACCGUGGUGGAGCUCUGGAGGGCAACUGGAAGACCUGGAGAUCCCUUGAUGCAGCCCUGGAUAGCAGCGUGGAAGCUGGUGGAUCCCUCAAUGAAGCCAUGGAGAGUGGGGUGGAAGACUGUAGAUACCUCCACAAUGCCAUGGAGCAUGGCCUGAAAGCUGGUAGAUUCCUCCAUGGAGCCCUGGAGAGAGAGGAGAAAACCAGUAGUCCCCUCGCUAGAGCGCUAGACAUGAGGUGGUCCCAACUGGACACCCUCGUCGGAGAACUUUUAAUCAGUAAAACAAAGCGGUUACCCCUUGAAGAACUUAGAUCAGGAAAAGAACGCUGGUGUGAAGUUGAAGAUUGGGAAUGCUGAUGGUGAUGAAAGGUCCAGAUAUAUGGAUGGCAGUGAUGAACAUGGAAUGACCGUGAGUUUAGAAGGUAACAAAGAUGGCAGAGUUAGGACUGUGGAAGGCAAUGACCGUGACUGAGCAAGGAGUAUAGAUGGCAAAUAAGACGAAGAACAUGGCAAGGAAGAUGAUGAUGAUGACUGAGCCAUGAAGGUAGACGGUAAAGACGAAGAUCAUGACUGAGCCAGGAGUGCAGAUUGUGUCUAGAUUGUUGGGCUCUGAGGCGACAAUGAAUGAACUCUGGAGCACUGAGGAGUGGAGUCUGGGGUGACGAUAAGUUGACACUAUGAAGCGACACGAAGUCUUGGGCUCUCAUGCAGUAGAUCAAUGGGUCUGAUCAAAAGCAGAGAACUUGGCAGAGCAUGGACAGCUCUGCUGAUAUGGACGGUCAGAAAGGAAAGUUCCAGACCAUUUGAUCCUCCUCACCAUGAAUGUCUUAUGGUGUCAACGGUGUUUGUGGUGCGAGGAUGAAGCAGCGGCAGGCGUCAACUGGACCCCUGAAAGCAGAGACAUUAGACAGACCCUAGGCAGCAGGUAGAGAAGCACUGGACAGAUUCUCAGCAGCAGGAAGGAAAGAUAUCCAUUCACCCAGACAACUCAGAAUGAAUAGCCACAUCUAAUCUCAAAUAGUGAACUAAGACCUUUGAGGAGCUGCUCAUCAAUAUCCAUACUGAUGUUGGACUUCUUGAAGCUUCUGUCUGCUUGAUCCAAGUUCUGACUUGAUUCCUGUGUCGUCGUGAGAGGAGGAAAAGCUGGACCAACUUGCUGACAGGUACUUGGGAGGAGCGUUGUGUUGAAGUGGUUUUGAUGAAAAUUGUAAAAAUACAUAAACUUCCAAUCUGGCAGAAGGAGAACAGAGCUUUUACAAAGGACUGGACAGAAACAAGGAAACAGGCAUAUUUACAGUAGGAUCACUUGGAGUGCAAAAGAAAGCGGUAAGUAUACUCUGAGGAAGAGAGGAGACAUGACAGGCAAAAUAGAAGGACUGAUAAGGAUAGAUGAGCUGCAGCUGAAGGAGAGAAAAUGCUGAACAUUCAGGGGAUGUGUAAAGUGGCUGAGACAAAGUAAAAGAAUGGUGAAGAGGACGGAAAAGGGUAAAUAAUCCUGAAUGGAGCUGAACAAGAAAUCCUGAGGAAAAUGUCAAACGAGGAUCUAGUAAGAAACAACAUACAUGUCAAAGGAUUACAAAAGAACACAAAAGAAUGAACUAAAGGAAUACACUACACAAUAAAUAGCGUAAUAAAAGCACAUAUAUGGCAACACCUUGCAUACAAUAAUGAAGAGAGAACAGAACCAGAUAAGGCUAGACCUAGCAUUAAAUAAUUAUCAAACGAAGACAAAGAAAAUCAAAAUACAAACACCAACAAAACAUGACAUUAAUAUUGGAAUCAGACAUCUUUAAACCUUAUAUAACAGGCAAUAGCCUUGUAGGGGCAUUUCUGACAAUUGCUUGGUGUUUAGGGUUUUUAGCUGUCAUGGGAACUAAUUUUAGAAUAAGAACUUCAAACCCUACAUGCCAGGCAAUGAGAAUGGGUUGGUAUUUAGUGCCUUUGCAGGUCAUGUGGGAAAUACAGAUGUCUGGUUCCUCCAUUUACUACCAUUAUAUCUGUAUUCCCCACAUGCCAGGUAAUGCCCCUAGUUGAGCUUUUUGUGUUAUUGCCUGGCAUGUGGUGCUUACAGCUGUCAUGGUUACUAAUGCUGGAACCAUACAUCUGCAGGCCCCACAUGCCAGAUGAUGAGUGUUGGUCAGGUUUGGUAUUUUGUGUUGUUGUGUUUAGUAGCAUGUGGGGCAUCUAAAUGUCUGGUUCCUCCGUUGGCCACCAUCAUAUUUUUAUGCCCACAUACUAAGGAUUGAGCCUGGAUGGGUGUUUUGUGCUGUUGUCUUGCAUGUGGGGCUUACAGUUGUCAUGGUCACUAAUACUAGAACCACACAGCUAAAUGCUCCACGUGUCAGACAAUGAGCCUGGGUGAAUGUUUUCGCUGUUGCUUGGUAUGUGUGUUAUUGUGUUACAAUGUUUGAGCCUGGGUGGGCGUGUCUUGCUGUGGCCUGGCAUAUGGGGUGUACAGAUGUUAUUGUGCCUCAGUGUUGGCUCCAGACAUGAGUACACCCCAUAGGCCAGGCAAUGAAACUGGGUGAGUUUUAGAAUAAGAGCUUCAAACCCUGCAUGCCAGGCAAUGAGAAUGGGUUGGUGUUUAGUGCCUCUGCAGGUCAUGUGGGAAAUACAGAUGUCUGGUUCCUCCAUUUACUACCAUUAUAUCUGUAUUCCCCACAUGCCAGGUAAUGCCCCUAGUUGAGCUUUUUGUGUUAUUGCCUGGCAUGUGGUGCUUACAGCUGUCAUGGUUACUAAUGCUGGAACCAUACAUCUGCAGGCCCCACAUGCCAGAUGAUGAGCCAGGGUUAGUAUUUUGUGUUGUUGUGUUUAGUAGCAUGUGGGGCAUCUAAAUGUCUGGUUCCUCCAUUGGCCACCAUGAUAGUUUUAUGCCCAUAUGCUAGGGAUUCAGAAUGGAUGGGUGUGUUGUGCUGUUGUUUUAUCACUUUAUUUUAGAUCUA
Molecule: long non-coding RNA, 4130 nt
Organism: Fundulus heteroclitus (mummichog)
Lineage: Eukaryota; Metazoa; Chordata; Actinopteri; Cyprinodontiformes; Fundulidae
Exons: 2
Source: RefSeq, a predicted model, not a curated record